UUACACCACUCAAGCUAUGCUUGGUAUUGGGCGUCGUCCUUAGUUGGGCGCGCCUUAAAGACCUCGGCGAGGCCUCACCGGCUUUAGGCGUAGUAGAAUUUAUUCAAUAACGUCUGUCAAUGGAGAGGACUUCUGCCGACUGAAACCUUUAUUUUUUACAGGUUGACCUCGGAUCAGGUAGGGAUACCCGCUGAACUUAA
RNAcentral lists this unclassified non-coding RNA (200 nucleotides) under soil metagenome. RNAcentral describes it as "partial contains internal transcribed spacer 2 and large subunit ribosomal RNA". The record is from RNAcentral.